This 433-nucleotide ribosomal RNA is filed under the name uncultured bacterium. Its description in RNAcentral is "partial 16S ribosomal RNA". It matches the Rfam family "Bacterial small subunit ribosomal RNA", at positions 29 to 507 of the family's 1533-position model. The record is from RNAcentral.
AACGAACGCUGGCGGCAUGCCUAACACAUGCAAGUCGAACGACACCUUCGGGUCUAGUUGCGCACGGGUGCGUCACGCGUCGGACGCUUCACUUAGGCUCGGAAUACCUCCCCUUCAGGGGUGCUAAUACCGGAUAAAGUCUUCGGACCCAAGAUUUAUCGCCUUUGGAUGGGCCCGCGUUGGACUAGCUAGUUGGUAGGGUAAAAGCCUACCAAGGCGACGAUCCAUAGCUGGUCUGAGAGGAUGAUCAGCCACACUGGGACUGAGACACGGCCCAGACUCCUACGGGAGGCAGCAGUGGGGAAUAUUGGACAAUGGGCGAAAGCCUGAUCCAGCAAUGCUGCGUGAGUGAUGAAGGCCUUAGGGUUGUAAAGCUCGUUUACCCGGGAUGAUAAUGACGGUACCGGAAGAAUAAGCUCCGGCUAACUCCGUG